UACGUAGGGUGCGAGCGUUAAUCGGAAUUACUGGGCGUAAAGCGUGCGCAGGCGGUUCGUUGUGUCGGCGGUGAAAGCCCCGGGCUCAACCUGGGAAUGGCCGUUGAAACUGGCGAACUGGAGUGUGGCAGAGGGGGGUGGAAUUCCGCGUGUAGCAGUGAAAUGCGUAGAGAUGUGGAGGAACACCGAUGGCGAAGGCAGCCCCCUGGGCUAAGAUUGACGCUCAUGCACGAAAGCGUGGGGAGCAAACAGG
This 253-nucleotide ribosomal RNA is filed under the name uncultured bacterium. RNAcentral describes it as "partial 16S ribosomal RNA". It matches the Rfam family "Bacterial small subunit ribosomal RNA", at positions 524 to 776 of the family's 1533-position model. The record is from RNAcentral.